Molecule: ribosomal RNA, 724 nt
Filed under: uncultured bacterium
Lineage: Bacteria
Description: bacterial SSU rRNA
Rfam family: Bacterial small subunit ribosomal RNA
Source: RNAcentral
AGCUGGGGGUGCUAACACAUGCAGUCUGUAACGAGAAAGGGCAGCAAUGCCUGAGUCCAGUGGCGCACGGGUGAGUACACGUGACUAAUCUACCCUCGAGCGGGGAAUAACCUAGGGAAACCUGGGGUAAUUACCGCAUAAUCCCUACGGGGCAAAGGAAGCAAUUCCACUUGAGGAGGAGGUCGCGGCCGAUUAGCUAGUUGGCGGGGUAAUGGCCCACCAAGGCAAUGAUCGGUAUCCGGCCUGAGAGGGCGCACGGACACACUGGAACUGAAACACGGUCCAGACUCCUACGGGAGGCAGCAGUGGGGAAUUUUGCACAAUGGACGAAAGUCUGAUGCAGCAACGCCGCGUGGGGGAUGAAGCUUUUCGGAGUGUAAACCCCUUUCGACCCGGAAGAAAGCCCGCAAGGGUUUGACGGUACGGGUAUAAGAAGCCCCGGCUAACUACGUGCCAGCAGCCGCGGUAAAACGUAGGGGGCCAGCGUUGCUCGGAAUUACUGGGCGUAAAGGGUCCGUAGGCGGUGUGGCAAGUCGGUAGUGAAAUCUCUGGGCUUAACCCAGAGGCUGCUGCCGAAACUGCCGUGCUAGAGUGUGAGAGAGGCGAGUGGAAUUACGGGUGUAGCGGUGAAAUGCGUAGAUUCCGUAGGAAACAUCCGAGGCGAAGGCGGCUCGCUGGAUCACAACUGACGCUGAGGGACGAAAGCUAGGGGAGGCAAACAGGA